Molecule: ribosomal RNA, 1846 nt
Filed under: Salmonella enterica subsp. enterica serovar Newport
Lineage: Bacteria; Pseudomonadati; Pseudomonadota; Gammaproteobacteria; Enterobacterales; Enterobacteriaceae
Description: bacterial LSU rRNA
Rfam family: Bacterial large subunit ribosomal RNA
Source: RNAcentral
CAGCCAUCAUUUAAAGAAAGCGUAAUAGCUCACUGGUCGAGUCGGCCUGCGCGGAAGAUGUAACGGGGCUAAACCAUGCACCGAAGCUGCGGCAGCGACACUGUGUGUUGUUGGGUAGGGGAGCGUUCUGUAAGCCUGUGAAGGUGGCCUGUGAGGGUUGCUGGAGGUAUCAGAAGUGCGAAUGCUGACAUAAGUAACGAUAAAGCGGGUGAAAAGCCCGCUCGCCGGAAGACCAAGGGUUCCUGUCCAACGUUAAUCGGGGCAGGGUGAGUCGACCCCUAAGGCGAGGCCGAAAGGCGUAGUCGAUGGGAAACAGGUUAAUAUUCCUGUACUUGGUGUUACUGCGAAGGGGGGACGGAGAAGGCUAUGUUGGCCGGGCGACGGUUGUCCCGGUUUAAGCGUGUAGGUGUGUGUUCCAGGUAAAUCCGGUUCACUUUAACACUGAGGCGUGAUGACGAGGCACUACGGUGCUGAAGCAACAAAUGCCCUGCUUCCAGGAAAAGCCUCUAAGCAUCAGGUAACAUCAAAUCGUACCCCAAACCGACACAGGUGGUCAGGUAGAGAAUACCAAGGCGCUUGAGAGAACUCGGGUGAAGGAACUAGGCAAAAUGGUGCCGUAACUUCGGGAGAAGGCACGCUGACACGUAGGUGAAGUGAUUUACUCAUGGAGCUGAAGUCAGUCGAAGAUACCAGCUGGCUGCAACUGUUUAUUAAAAACACAGCACUGUGCAAACACGAAAGUGGACGUAUACGGUGUGACGCCUGCCCGGUGCCGGAAGGUUAAUUGAUGGGGUCAGCGCAAGCGAAGCUCCUGAUCGAAGCCCCGGUAAACGGCGGCCGUAACUAUAACGGUCCUAAGGUAGCGAAAUUCCUUGUCGGGUAAGUUCCGACCUGCACGAAUGGCGUAAUGAUGGCCAGGCUGUCUCCACCCGAGACUCAGUGAAAUUGAACUCGCUGUGAAGAUGCAGUGUACCCGCGGCAAGACGGAAAGACCCCGUGAACCUUUACUAUAGCUUGACACUGAACAUUGAGCCUUGAUGUGUAGGAUAGGUGGGAGGCUUUGAAGCGUGGACGCCAGUCUGCGUGGAGCCGACCUUGAAAUACCACCCUUUAAUGUUUGAUGUUCUAACGUGGACCCGUAAUCCGGGUUGCGGACAGUGUCUGGUGGGUAGUUUGACUGGGGCGGUCUCCUCCUAAAGAGUAACGGAGGAGCACGAAGGUUGGCUAAUCCUGGUCGGACAUCAGGAGGUUAGUGCAAUGGCAUAAGCCAGCUUGACUGCGAGCGUGACGGCGCGAGCAGGUGCGAAAGCAGGUCAUAGUGAUCCGGUGGUUCUGAAUGGAAGGGCCAUCGCUCAACGGAUAAAAGGUACUCCGGGGAUAACAGGCUGAUACCGCCCAAGAGUUCAUAUCGACGGCGGUGUUUGGCACCUCGAUGUCGGCUCAUCACAUCCUGGGGCUGAAGUAGGUCCCAAGGGUAUGGCUGUUCGCCAUUUAAAGUGGUACGCGAGCUGGGUUUAGAACGUCGUGAGACAGUUCGGUCCCUAUCUGCCGUGGGCGCUGGAGAACUGAGGGGGGCUGCUCCUAGUACGAGAGGACCGGAGUGGACGCAUCACUGGUGUUCGGGUUGUCAUGCCAAUGGCACUGCCCGGUAGCUAAAUGCGGAAGAGAUAAGUGCUGAAAGCAUCUAAGCACGAAACUUGCCCCGAGAUGAGUUCUCCCUGAGACUUAGAGUCUCCUGAAGGAACGUUGAAGACGACGACGUUGAUAGGCCGGGUGUGUAAGCGCAGCGAUGCGUUGAGCUAACCGGUACUAAUGAACCGUGAGGCUUAACCUUACAACGCCGAAG